AGAGUUUGAUUAUGGCUCAGGAUGAACGCUAGCGAUAGGCCUAACACAUGCAAGUCGAGGGGCAGCACAUGAAGUAGCAAUACGGAUGGUGGCGACCGGCGCACGGGUGAGUAACGCGUAUGCAACCUGCCUACAACAGGGGAAUAACCCGUUGAAAGACGGACUAAUACCCCAUAACACAGGGAUCCCGCAUGGGAAUAUUUGUUAAAGAUUUAUCGGUUGUAGAUGGGCAUGCGUUCCAUUAGCUGGUUGGUGAGGUAACGGCUCACCAAGGCAACGAUGGAUAGGGGAACUGAGAGGUUUAUCCCCCACACUGGUACUGAGACACGGACCAGACUCCUACGGGAGGCAGCAGUGAGGAAUAUUGGUCAAUGGACGCAAGUCUGAACCAGCCACGUCGCGUGAAGGAAGACGGCCCUACGGGUUGUAAACUUCUUUUGUAAGGGAAUAAAGUGCAGUACGUGUACUGUUUUGCAUGUACCUUACGAAUAAGGAUCGGCUAACUCCGUGCCAGCAGCCGCGGUAAUACGGAGGAUCCGAGCGUUAUCCGGAUUUAUUGGGUUUAAAGGGUGCGCAGGCGGGAGAUUAAGUCGGCGGUGAAAUUUUGCAGCUCAACUGUAAAAGUGCCUUCGAAACUGGUUUUCUUGAGUGUGGAUGAAGUAGGCGGAAUUUGUGGUGUAGCGGUGAAAUGCAUAGAUAUCACGAGGAACUCCGAUUGCGCAAGCAGCUUACUAAACCAUAACUGACGCUCAGCACGAAGGCGUGGGGAUCAGACAGGAUUAGAUACCCUGGUAGUC
RNAcentral lists this ribosomal RNA (797 nucleotides) under uncultured Porphyromonadaceae bacterium. RNAcentral describes it as "bacterial SSU rRNA". It matches the Rfam family "Bacterial small subunit ribosomal RNA", at positions 8 to 795 of the family's 1533-position model. Lineage: Bacteria; Pseudomonadati; Bacteroidota; Bacteroidia; Bacteroidales; Porphyromonadaceae. The record is from RNAcentral.